This 73-nucleotide transfer RNA is filed under the name Cavia porcellus (domestic guinea pig). It matches the Rfam family "tRNA". Rfam says of the family: Transfer RNA (tRNA) molecules are approximately 80 nucleotides in length. Their secondary structure includes four short double-helical elements and three loops (D, anti-codon, and T loops). Further hydrogen bonds mediate the characteristic L-shaped molecular structure. tRNAs have two regions of fundamental functional importance: the anti-codon, which is responsible for specific mRNA codon recognition, and the 3' end, to which the tRNAs corresponding amino acid is attached (by aminoacyl-tRNA synthetases). tRNAs cope with the degeneracy of the genetic code in two manners: having more than one tRNA (with a specific anti-codon) for a particular amino acid; and 'wobble' base-pairing, i.e. permitting non-standard base-pairing at the 3rd anti-codon position. The record is from Rfam by way of RNAcentral. Lineage: Eukaryota; Metazoa; Chordata; Mammalia; Rodentia; Caviidae.
GUGGAUUUAGCUCAGCGGCAUAAGUGCCUGCCUUGCAAGCAGGCAGUUGUGAGUUCAAUCCCCAUUACCCAUA